UAGUGGCGGACGGGUGAGUAACGCGUGAGAAUCUGCCUUCAGGAGGGGGAUAACGACUGGAAACGGUCGCUAAUACCCCAUAUGCCUACGGGUGAAAUGUUUUUCGCCUGAAGAUGAGCUCGCGUCCUAUCAGCUAGUUGGUGAGGUAACGGCUCACCAAGGCUUACGGGUAGUUGGUCUGAGAGGAUGAUCAGCAACACUGGGACUGAGACACUGCCCAGACUCCUACGGGAGGCUGCAGUCGAGAAUCAUUGUCAAUGCACGAAAGUGUGAACAUGCGACGCCGCGUGGAGGAAGACGGCCUUUGGGUUGUAAACUCCUGUCAGCAGGGAGGAAUUACGGAUCUGCUAAUAUCAGAUCCGUUUGACAGUACCUGCAGAGGAAGUCACGGCUAACUCUGUGCCAGCAGCCGCGGUAAUACAGAGGUGGCGAACGUUGUUCGGAUUUACUGGGCGUAAAGGGUCCGCAGGCGGAUCGGUAUGUCAGAUGUGAAAGCCCACAGCUCAACUGUGGAAUUGCAUUUGAAACUGCCGGUCUAGAGUACUGGAGGGGAGAAGGGAACACUUGGUGUAGCGGUGAAAUGCGUAGAUAUCAAGUGGAACACCGGUGGCGAAGGCGCUUCUCUGGACAGAUACUGACGCUCAUGGACGAAAGCUUGGGUAGCGAAAGGGAUUAGAUACCCCUGUAGUCCAAGCCGUAAACGGUGUGCACUAGGCGUGGGAGGCUUUACCCCCUUCCGUGCCUGAGCUAACGCAUUAAGUGCACCGCCUGGGGAGUACGGUCGCAAGAUUAAAACUCAAAGGAAUUGACGGGGACCCGCACAAGCGGUGGAGCAUGUGGCUUAAUUCGAUGCAACGCGAAGAACCUUACCUGGGCUUGACAUAUAGCUGCAUCCGACCCGAAAGGGACGGAGCCUUCGAGGGUGCUAUACAGGUGCUGCAUGGCUGUCGUCAGCUCGUGCCGUGAGGUGUUGGGUUAAGUCCCGCAACGAGCGCAACCCCUGUGUUUAGUUGCCAUCAGUUCGGCUGGGAACUCUAAACAGACUGCCUGUGAAAACAGGAGGAAGGUGGGGAUGACGUCAAGUCAGUAUGGUCCUUAUGUCCAGGGCUGCACACGUGCUACAAUGGGAUGUACAAUGGGAAGCUAAGCCGCGAGGUGGAGCAAAUCCUCAAAACAUCCCCCAGUUCGGAUUGUAGUCUGAAACUCGACUGCAUGAAGUUGGAAUCGCUAGUAAAGGCGUAUCAGCUACGACGCCUUGAAUACGUUCCCGGGUCUUGUACACACCGCCCG
RNAcentral lists this ribosomal RNA (1290 nucleotides) under uncultured prokaryote. RNAcentral's name for it is "partial 16S ribosomal RNA". It matches the Rfam family "Bacterial small subunit ribosomal RNA", at positions 93 to 1396 of the family's 1533-position model. The record is from RNAcentral.